CAAAAACACCUUGUGUAAUGAAAAACCCAGAUCUAUAACCUCUCCCUAUAUAUUCUGCAUGCAUUGAGGUAGGCUCAAAUCCUUAGGGACCUGGUAUAGACGCGGAAUCUGUUUCACACAACAACUGCUAUUUGAAGGAAAAAAUAAAAGAAGCAAAUGAUACCAAGACAAGCUCAUAACAGAGAUCCAAUCAGCAGAUGUGUACGGAUGAAAAUACAGCUUGAAGGCAGGUCCACUCCUCCUCCUGGAAGCCUUCCCUUGACUGAUUCCUCGCUGAGUUCACAGUGAGAUGAGUCAGAAAACGGCCAAGGAGGGUCCCAGACUCUCCAAAAACCAGAAGUACUCCGAGCACUUCAGCAUACACUGCUGCCCGCCGUUCACCUUCCUCAAUUCCAAGAAGGAGAUAGUGGAUCGGAAAUACAGCAUCUGUAAGAGCGGCUGCUUCUACCAGAAGAAAGAGGAGGACUGGAUCUGCUGCGCCUGCCAAAAGACCAGAACCAGCCGCCGUGCCACGUCCCCUCAGAAGCCCAAGAAACAGCCAGCUGCGCCCCCUGCGGUGGUCAGAGAGCCAGCCAAGCCACGGUCCCCUCCGAGGUCUGAGCGUCAGCCACGGUCCCCUCCGAGGUCUGAGCGUCAGCCACGGUCCCCUCCGAGGUCUGAGCGUCAGCCACGCCCCCGCCCAGAGGUCCGACCACCGCCAGCCAAGCAGCGUCCCCCUCAGAAGUCCAAGCAACAGCAGCGCAGCAGCCCCCUCAGAGGGCCAGGCGCCAGUCGUGGGGGGUCCCCCGUCAAAGCUUCUAGGUUCUGGUAACACCAUCUCUUCCCUUUUGUUCCCCAGCCCUAAGAUUGAAAAGGAAGAUCAGGCCAACCCCAAAAAAGAAGUGAUCAAGGAAGAGUUUAAAGUGAAUGAACGGCCUUGGCUCCUGGACUCAUUGCUUCACAACUCAUCUACCCUUGGAUGAAGUUAUCUGGCUUCAAAUAUUAUGCAGGGACAAACACCUGCUGAUGCAGCAACUGCUGAUGCUCAUGGUCCCCAUGGCCUGGGGGCCUCAGGGCAGCCUGCCUGGAGCACUUUGAAGAUGCCAUCCCAUUGUCUUCUGACCUCUGUAAUUGCCACGGAGAGAUCUGCUGUCAGUCUGCUUAUCCUUCCAUGGACUCAAGUUUCUUCAAUCUGAAGAUACAUGUCUUUCUCCAGGGACAUGCGGAAAAAAAAAAAAAAAAAAGAUG
Chlorocebus sabaeus (green monkey) is the source of this 1227-nucleotide non-coding RNA. The record is from RefSeq and is a predicted model, not a curated record. NCBI's taxonomy places the organism in Eukaryota, Metazoa, Chordata, Mammalia, Primates, Cercopithecidae.